UAUCUUUCUCUCUUGUGCAAAUCGGGCGAAUGAAGCUGUCAAUGUUGCCGUGCGGGACAGAUAGUGAGCACAGAAGACAGGCUGCUGUGACGCAUGGUGGAAAGAGCUCCUGACCAUUUAGGCAGUGGCAGGAGAGCAUGAAGAAGCCAUGGUUUGAAAUGGAAAGACAGCACUUGAGCGUGCAUGCAUCGAAGCCCCGGCGGUUUCUCGGUGCUCUUCGGUGAGAAACGACCGACUGGCGGUCGACAGAAGAAGAUGGAAAAGUAGGUCCGUCUCUCGCGCAACGAGGUCCUUUUCCUUUCCUCUUCAUCUCGUUUUUCCU
Molecule: non-coding RNA, 322 nt
Organism: Caenorhabditis elegans
Lineage: Eukaryota; Metazoa; Nematoda; Chromadorea; Rhabditida; Rhabditidae
Source: Ensembl